UACGUAGGUGGCAAGCGUUGUCCGGAAUUAUUGGGCGUAAAGCGCGCGCAGGCGGUCCCUUAAGUCUGAUGUGAAAGCCCCCGGCUUAACCGGGGAGGGUCAUUGGAAACUGGGGGACUUGAGUGCAGAAGAGAAGAGCGGAAUUCCAUGUGUAGCGGUGAAAUGCGCAGAGAUAUGGAGGAACACCAGUGGCGAAGGCGGCUCUUUGGUCUGUAACUGACGCUGAGGCGCGAAAGCGUGGGGAGCAAAC
This 250-nucleotide ribosomal RNA is filed under the name uncultured bacterium. RNAcentral's name for it is "partial 16S ribosomal RNA". It matches the Rfam family "Bacterial small subunit ribosomal RNA", at positions 524 to 773 of the family's 1533-position model. The record is from RNAcentral.